This is a long non-coding RNA of Equus caballus (horse), 2379 nucleotides long. Lineage: Eukaryota; Metazoa; Chordata; Mammalia; Perissodactyla; Equidae. The record is from Ensembl.
AGAAAUGAGAUGGGGGAAAAGGAGCAAAGAUUUGAAGGGUAAGGGGGUUUGACCUGCUGCCGUGGGCUUUGAAGAUGAGGAAGGGGGCCAUGAGCCAAGGAAUGCAGGUGCCUCCAGAGGCUGGAAACUGCCCUCAGCUGACAGCCAGCAGGGAAACGGAGACGCCAGUCCUACAACCUCAGGGAAAUAAAAUCUGCCAACAACCCGAGUGAGGAGGAAACGGAUCCUCCCCCAUGGCUUCCAGAAAGGAACACAGCCUGCGGACGCCUGUUUAAGGGGGGUGAGCCCCGUGUUGGACUUCUGGCCUCCAGGACUGUAAGACGAUAAAUUUGUGUCGCUUAAGCUGCGAAGUUUGUAGUCAUUCGUGAUGGCAGCCACAGGAAACCAACACAGUGUGGAAAUGACUCUUUCUUUCCGCAAGGGCGCUGUGCGUGGCCGAGGGUCCACCGUGGAUGACCGGGGGCUCUGCUGUGGACAAGUCCUCCAAAGGAUGUGGGUCUCAUGGGAGCUGCAGGGGGCCCCCAAGCUGGGACCCUGCUGACCUCAUGACCUUUAGAAAUGGAUGGACAGCCUCAACUCAGACGGAAGAUUCACUCCUGAACCAGAUCUCAGCACAGUACCUGCACACAGUCAGCGCUCAAUAAAUGUCUAUUGAAUGCACGGCGAGCUGGCCCUUGCUCAGCUGGGUCAGAGAAGUUGGAUCUCAGGUCUAAAGCGCCUCCGCGACCUUGCGGCCCAAAAAGUCCUGCUGGUCAACCAGGGUGACACCAAGGGCAGUUCCUCUGGCCUCUCCAAGCUUCAGGGGCCGACACCAGAGACUCUACCCGGGCUGCAUCCUGGGAGCACCUCCUCUCCCCAGGGAGGUGGGGAGGUGGCUGCUUCACCGGUGCGUGCCUGUGUGUAUCAACUGCCACCGCUUUUCCAGCCUUGGUAACAUUUGGAGUUAUAGGAUCACCAGACGGGAGGCCACACCCAAUACACCGCGGACACCCUGUGCUCCAGCAUCUGCUAUCUCAAUCUCCCACAAGCCCACACCCAGCACAUUGACCCUGCAAUACUUGAACAAGACAGCGCCCCAUUAUCCAACAUCUAAUACCAUAUCAACAUUUGGGGCGUAGGAUAAUACUCUAGCAUCUAAAAUCCCAAUUUCCCAUCAGCCAGCACCGAUACCUCAUUACCCAGACUGGCCAAUACUGAAGAACCCCAACGCGUCAGACAUUCAGACCCCCUACCUCUGGCCUGUUGAAACCCAACACAUGGACAUCCCAACUUCCAAUAAUGUUGACACCCCAACUUCCCUUUAGACAAUAGGCAACAUACUCACACCCAAACCAGCUCCUACCCCAUCCCUAGUCACGUCCUGUGUGGACAUUCCAAUGUUCGAUUGCCAUCAUAUCCCAAACACUGGCCAUCACCUAAGAUGCUGACACCCAAAUGCCAAAACACCCCCAUGGGCAGCACGUCCCUUUUCCAAUAUCUAUGAACUCAUCUUCAGUCGGAACACAGCCAGCACACCCAGUACCCGAAGAGGCCCACCUCCAACGUGGGGAUAUCCCACCCCCAAUUCUUCUGAAGCCCCAACACUCCCCUGGCCAUACCCACCCUCAUACUCCAGCCUCCCCCGGAUGAUGGGCAAUGCAGACCAGCAUCCGGCCCUCGGUGCGUAUUCCUUACUCCAGUAUCUAACCCUUAGCUCCCCAUGCAGCUGUCACUCUGACACCCGCAGGUUCAGUUCCCUAAGUCCUUAGCAGUCAACGCUCAAAAUAUAUGGUGGCCCCAACAUCUGUGUGUGAACAGCUGUACACCCGCGAGGUUCACUGGCAACACCUGGAUUCCUCCCCCAUCUACUGCCCAGUCCUGCCACACCUGCGAGAACCUUUGUCACCUGGGACCCCAGGUUUGGGUGAGGAAUAAAGGAGGUGAUUAUGUGUAAAGUGAUCAGAACAGUGCUGGACACUUAGCAGGCACGCAGGCAGCAAAUAAUAAUAAUAAUUACUAUUAGUCUGUACUUUUCUGGGAUCCCUGGGAGAUUUUAUUUGUGUUUGAUUAAAACAGCGAAACAUCAAAAACCAGGAGAUAAUAUUUUUCAUUGGCAAGUGUAAAUAUUAGUCCGUACACGAACUAGAGUGCUGGAUUUGAAUGUUCUUAAAAUGGAAACUCAUUCCUUUUAUUUUGUUUACUUAAUAUUUCAAAUUUUUGAGGUAUAAUUGACAAAAUUGUAAGAUACUUUGUGUACAAGACCUUCUUUUAAAAUUGCUCCUUGUUCUAACAGUAAAGAAUGAAUCAAAAAAGUAAAGUGACUCAUCAGCGGCACGACUUAGUGGCUUCUCAAAUGGCUCUGUUUGUCGCUAUUUCAGUUUUGCUAAAAUUCACCAAGUU